This is a long non-coding RNA of Melanotaenia boesemani (Boeseman's rainbowfish), 1163 nucleotides long. RefSeq lists it as uncharacterized. The record is from RefSeq and is a predicted model, not a curated record. The transcript has 4 exons. NCBI's taxonomy places the organism in Eukaryota, Metazoa, Chordata, Actinopteri, Atheriniformes, Melanotaeniidae.
GGACAGCGACGGGGAUCGGCCCUCUGCAAAGAGGCCGAGGGAGAGCUGUGAGGAGAGCCCUGGAGAGGAGCAGUCCUUUCCAGACUCGACUCCCUCAACCUCUGGCUUGAAGAGCAGGUGUGACGUCAUUGACCUCACUGUGAAGAGAACGAGGUGGGACGAUGGCAGCAACUCUGACUAAACUUGUCAACUCCUUCAUGCUGCAGGAUCUGACAACUUUAGAUCGGACAACUUUAGUUGCAUAAACCAUCAGUCAUGAACUUCAGCAACAGGAAGGGGCUGAAUGUUGCUUCUCCAGAUGGGACUGUUUUCCAUCUGGAGAUAAUUAUUUCUUCAUUUGUAUACAUGUAUAUUUCUAUGUUUAACCUUUUGAGUCUUACAGGACUGGUGACGCCUCAAGUAGGUCUUGCAGCAGGGCUUUCCUUCAUCUGGUCCCUGGAUCAACUUUUGAAAACUUGCAUCUGUAAGGGUUGUCAGAGCCUGAGCCUUGCACCAGGCCUGUUGAUGUUAUAAUGUCAAAUCUACUGAUGACGUGAGUGCAGUAGGAAGAGGACCCAAUGCUACGCUGAGGAGGCAUGACCUGAUGAUCUAGACCUGAUUCCUCCUCAACCCAGACAUGAACAGAGGACCAGCUUUACCACCUGAGUUACUGCUGGACACAAAAUGUGCAAAAAGGCCAGUAAAAGACUCUUUGUUGAGCCUCUUUGCUGGAAGAAGAGAGAAGUCCAGACCCAAAGAGGGACAGAGACACCGUGUGAAGUCAUGAUUCUGAGUGGACGUCCACAGAGCUUGAGUUGGUGACCCAUGUGAUCCAGUCCAGAGGACCAGAAAUGGUUCCACCGACGUGUGAAUCCUGGUUCCAGUCUGUCUCCUUUACAUCUGUCCACAUGACAGAAGGUGGAACCAGGAUUCACACGAUGUGCGAAAAAGGUGAUCAUGACUGAGAUGACACACAGCCGUCGGCCUGAAGGACAAGCAAGGUGGACCACAGAGACCCAACUUCCUGUUGUACAUCCAAGGUUUCCAUGGCGAUGAAGAGCUCCCAGCCAGAUGACAGCAGCUGUUAAGACAAAGAGCAUGAAGUAAGUCCAAAGUCACCAUGAGCUAAAGAUAACACCAUCAAGUCUAUUUAAAUGAUUUUAUGACAUUGUAGAAAAUAUUCA